Molecule: transfer RNA, 68 nt
Filed under: Caenis robusta
Lineage: Eukaryota; Metazoa; Arthropoda; Insecta; Ephemeroptera; Caenidae
Description: tRNA-Trp
Source: RNAcentral
AAGGUUUUAUGUUAAUAAAACAAAUAGCCUUCAAAGCUAUAAAUAUAAGGAUUAUCUUAUAAGCCUUA